Molecule: ribosomal RNA, 628 nt
Filed under: uncultured Russulaceae
Lineage: Eukaryota; Fungi; Basidiomycota; Agaricomycetes; Russulales; Russulaceae
Description: LSU rRNA
Rfam family: Eukaryotic large subunit ribosomal RNA
Source: RNAcentral
UAAGCGGAGGAAAAGAAACUAACAAGGAUUCCCCUAGUAACUGCGAGUGAAGCGGGAAAAGCUCAAAUUUAAAAUCUGGUGGUCUUUGGCCAUNCGAGUUGUAAUUUAGAGAAGCGUCUUNCGCGCUGGACCGUGCACAAGUCUCCUGGAAUGGAGCGUCAUAGAGGGUGAGAAUCCCGUCUUUGGCAUGGACACNNCAGGGCUUUUGUGAUGCGCUCUCGAAGAGUCGAGUUGUUUGGGAAUGCAGCUCAAAAUGGGUGGUGAACUCCAUCUAAAGCUAAAUAUUGGCGAGAGACCGAUAGCGAACAAGUACCGUGAGGGAAAGAUGAAAAGCACUUUGGAAAGAGAGUGAAACAGUACGUGAAAUUGUUGAAAGGGAAACGCUUGAAGUCAGUCACGUCGACCGAGACUCAGCCUUGCCUCGGCUUGGUGUACUUCUCGGCUGACAGGUCAGCAUCAAUUUUGCCCCUUGGAUAAUGGCGAGGGAAAUGUGACACCUUUAUGGUGUGUUAUAGUCUCUCGUCGCAUGCAAGGGUUGGGAUUGAGGAACUCAGCACGCGNCCUUUGGGCGUCGGGGCUUUGCCCACGAUACGUGCUUAGGAUGUUGGCAUAAUGGCCUUAAACGACC